UACGGGGGGAGCAAGCGUUGUUCGGAAUCACUGGGCGUAAAGGGCGUGUAGGCGGUCCGUUAAGUCUGAUGUGAAAGCCCGGGGCUCACCCCCGGAAGGGCAUUGGAAACUGGCGGACUCGAGUCCCGGAGAGGAGAGUGGAAUUCCUGGUGUAGCGGUGAAAUUCGUAGAUAUUCGCAAGAACACCAGUGGCGAAGGCGGCUCACUGGCCCGGUACUGACGCUGAGGUGCGAAAGCGUGGGGAGCAAACAGG
This 253-nucleotide ribosomal RNA is filed under the name uncultured bacterium. RNAcentral describes it as "partial 16S ribosomal RNA". It matches the Rfam family "Bacterial small subunit ribosomal RNA", at positions 524 to 776 of the family's 1533-position model. The record is from RNAcentral.